UUCUGGCUACGAGGACGAACGCUGGCGGCGUGCCUAACACAUGCAAGUCGAACGGACGAGGAGAGCUUGCUCUCCGAGUUAGUGGCGAACGGGUGAGUAACGCGUGAGCAACCUGCCUUUCAGAGGGGGACAACGGUUGGAAACGACCGCUAAUACCGCAUGAUGCAUUUUGACCGCAUGAUCGAAAUGCCAAAGAUUUAUCGCUGAAAGAUGGGCUCGCGUCUGAUUAGAUAGCUGGUGGGGCAACGGCCUACCAAGUCGACGAUCAGUAGCCGGACUGAGAGGUUGAACGGCCACAUUGGGACUGAGAUACGGCCCAGACUCCUACGGGAGGCAGCAGUGGGGAAUAUUGGGACAAUGGGGGAAACCCUGACCCAGCAACGCCGCGUGAAGGAAGAAGGCUUUCGGGUUGUAAACUUCUCUUACCAGGGACGAAGGACGUGACGGUACCUGGAGAAAAAGCCACGGCUAACUACGUGCCAGCCGCCGC
RNAcentral lists this ribosomal RNA (490 nucleotides) under uncultured bacterium. Its description in RNAcentral is "bacterial SSU rRNA". It matches the Rfam family "Bacterial small subunit ribosomal RNA", at positions 26 to 518 of the family's 1533-position model. The record is from RNAcentral.